CGUCGCGCCGCCGCCGGCUCUGGUCGCCUCCACCUCCGCUCCAGGCAACCCUCGGUCGCCGGCUCGCUGGAGCACGACGGCAGACGAUGGAUGCCUGGUUGUGUGCGACGGAUGCAGUUCUCACGCGCAAGCUAGGGUUGGAGCCGCCAGCUCUUCAUCCUGCCCGCCGGCGGCGAGUCUUCCCGUCCCGUACUGCCGCCUCCCCGUUAUCACAGGUAUCUCCACCCCUUCCUCUUUCCCCCUCUUCUCUCCUCUCCCUUCUCCCUCCUCCAUCUCUGUUCCCUUCCCCCUCCCACCCCGUUAUCUGUUCAUGUUGUUGGCACCUGAAGAAGUUGGUGGCAUGGUGAAGCCCCUGAGCAAAAGUUGCAGGAGUCUUUGAAGGAGUUGGAGAAGUCUUAAACCUGAGUCCGAAUCCAAUUUCGUGGGAACAAGCAUAUAUUCCAUGAAUUUUCCAUUAGAUUCAGUGGACAGGUUCAUCUGGUCCUUUACUCCUCACAUAAUAACUGUGAAACUUAAUGAGGAACUUCUGAAAAAUGCUUCCUCCCCUCUGAUGUCUAUUUGGUUACUUAUGCUUGUGUGGUCUGGUUGUUCCUAAGUGCUUUCGGACAUUAUUAUUUGUGUGAUCAGCAUUGAGUAGAUUGCCUGCAGCAAGAUAACUUGAGUUUUGUUACUUAAGUAAACGAUAUGUAAAUAGCUCUAAGUUAACUGGACAUUUUGUCGCAUUGGCUUGAAUCUGCAUGUUGCAUCAUUUGUGCACAAUGAAAACUGUAUGAACCUGCAUUGGAUGGUGUAUUUGUAGGAAGGUUAUCCUUUCUUCAAGGACUGGAAGUUUCCUGGUAAGUGUUCCUUUUUCUUAAAAACUCUGUGUUUGUUCGCUGUAAUAUUUUGUUUACAUCAGGUUUCUCUUUCCUUUUGUGGGCAUAAUGGGCGAGACAAUAAUAUUCAGAAAGUUGUUGUUUUAGGGAAACUGCUAACUCCAUAUGUCAGACCCAUAUCAUUGUUGAGCAUGCAUAGUGUUCCUAUGUCAUUUCUAUGAUGUAUUUGUUUCCUUUUAUAUCACAGUAGUCUUCAUUUUGGCCAUGUACCUUCAAACUGAACCAAAAAUGGUUUGUCUGAUGACAUGUUUGAGGAGAUUCUUGAUAUGAAACAGUACAUAUGAGGGUGACCGUUUUUUUGCAAGUUUUGUCCGUGGAAUCUUUUUGCAGUUGAUAAGACAUGGGCUGGACUUACUUCCGAUCUGCAAUAUUUUCGGUAAAGUGAUUCAAGGAAACAAACAUCCACUGUGUCAAUCACUCAAGAUGGUGCAUGCAGUUUUCCUGAAAGUUAAGUCUGAGAGCCUGCUCCUACAUAAAGCUGGGUGACGGGACGACGGCCAAUUUCUGGGAGGACAAAUGGUUGCCGGGUGGGCGUUCCGUCUAAGACCUGGCGCCAACACUGCUCACUUUUGUGCCCAAGAGCACAACUAGUCAUCUAUGGUUUGGAUGGGGCUGGGUUCCUACAACGACGGCAACAGAGGCGACAAACACCACUUUGCAACCUCGCCGAACUGUGUUGCUGAACUGAAGUUUAGGGACAGCAGCAGUUUUACCACCGAUGGUGUUGCAUGUAAGCUGGAUGUUCUCAUUGUUCUGUUGGCUCUGAUAGGGUGAGUUCUUCCCUAUUUCCUUUUUUGAUGCCUCCGUAUGCUCAACCUAUUAUGGUUUUAGUUGUAGUGUGAAUGUUUUAUAGUUUAUAUUUUUUGUGUGUUCUCUGGCAGUGUGUAUGCUAUGAAGUUAAGGUUCUUAAGAUUAAUGAUGUUUAUAGAAGGUAGAUACAGUUUUAUCAUUCAUUCAUGAUCAUAUUUGGCCUCUCUUAGUGGCCAGUCUAUGGUAAAUCUAAUAGUUGCUCUUGAUAGUGAUGCAGGAUGUGAGGUACAACUAUCAAAGUGACAUUAAUUUUGGUUGUGAUUCCUAUCCGCAGCCUCUUCUACACUAGAGAAGGAAAACACUCGACGAUCUGGCUCUGUCUCAGGUAUAUGCUCCCUCGCCCGCAAGAUCCGCUCUCUCCCAUCUACGCAUCGCAACAGCACUUCAGCUCCUCUUGUGGAUUCUCACCAGAUCAGGCCACCUCACUCACCUUCAGGUUUGUAAACAGUCAUCCAUACCAUAGGGUCCAUCGGUGAAACAAAGCCAAUCAUAUGAAUUGAAGGAGCUACUGAAAUAAAGUGGAAAGAACAAAGAGAAAAUUGAAGAUUAUCUAUAUGAACAUUCCGAGAAUGGGAUAGGAGAGGUGGUUCUUCCCAACAGGAAAAAGAGUGGAGCGUCUGUCGUGAUGGACAAAGUUAAGAUCCCAACAAAAAGUGCUUCUUGAUGCUAUGAUGCAGCAACUUAACCUUCCAAAUUACAGUUUACUAAACAGACCUCGCCGGCAGAUCCCUCAGCUAUCAGGGAAGGCAGUCAUCAGCGGAGAUUGAGGGCGCCUCUCCGGCGAGAGUGCUCAUGUCGUGGUGGUUUUCCACCAGCAGCGUGGGGGAGGCGGUGUCCUCUGCAGCUAGGUCUACUUACUGGCGACCUCACCAUCACCAGCCCACCUGCAGAGCAUUUGUAAAGGGCAGUUGAUCUUCUCAUUGGUUUCAUUGGCGUUGUAUGCAAGGUCUCAAAAGGUCUGCUGUUCCUGGAUGAUAGCUGCAUAUGAGGAUGUACGAAGGAUUUGGCUGCGAACUCAAUCAGACCAUUGGAUUGAAGCUGAAGGGGGCAUUGCAAAGAUACGAAGGAAUGGCCUUUCGUUCAUAACCUGGUCAGCUACACAACAUCUGGUCGUACAUGUUUCUGUUGUAGCGGCCCAGUUACGUGGAGAAGAAUGGCAUACGCUGAGGAUUGUGUCAGCUGAUUUUCUAACUCAUGUUUAGCUCAUGGAUUCUCAUUUAUCUCUUCAAUUUACACAAGGAGGUGCAUUAUCAGCUCUUAUGUAUUUUCUUAAUAACCGUUGAUAGGAAUGACAACUAUGUUGAGAUGUGGUAGACCAUUGAAUGACUUUUGGUCCAGAAUGAAAAAUAGAGGCAUAAUUAUUGUAAUUUUGUUGCUGCUAAUUUCUUUCAAACGAA
This is a non-coding RNA of Aegilops tauschii subsp. strangulata, 3082 nucleotides long. NCBI's taxonomy places the organism in Eukaryota, Viridiplantae, Streptophyta, Magnoliopsida, Poales, Poaceae. The record is from RefSeq and is a predicted model, not a curated record.